Molecule: ribosomal RNA, 610 nt
Filed under: Ischnura capreola
Lineage: Eukaryota; Metazoa; Arthropoda; Insecta; Odonata; Coenagrionidae
Description: partial large subunit ribosomal RNA
Rfam family: Eukaryotic large subunit ribosomal RNA
Source: RNAcentral
UCGCGGCGGCGUGCGCAGAAGGGUCUGGGCUCGAGCCUGCCUGGAGCCGCCGCCGGUGCAGAUCUUGGUGGUAGUAGCAAAUACUCCAGCGAGGCCCUGGAGGACUGAUGUGGAGAAGGGUUUCGUGUGAACAGCCGUUGCACACGAGUCAGUCGAUCCUAAGCCCUAGGAGAAAUCCGACGCCUACGGCGACGGGAAUAAUUUUUUCGAGAAUGCGACCCGUUGAUCGGGCGAAAGGGAAUCCGGUUCCUAUUCCGGAACCCGGCAGCGGAACCGCUGUUUGUCGGGCCCUCACAAGGGGUUCGUCAGGGUAACCUAAAAGGGCCCGGAGACGCCGUCGGGAGCCCCGGAAAGAGUUUUCUUUUCUGCAUGAGCGUUCGAGUUCCCUGGAAUCCUCUCGCAGGGAGAUAGGGUUUGGAACGCGAAGAGCACCGCAGUUGCGGCGGUGCCCGGGAAUUCCCGACGGACCUUGAAAAUCCGGGAGAGGGCCACGUGGAGGUGUCGCGCCGGCUCGUACCCAUAUCCGCAGCAGGUCUCCAAGGUGAAGAGCCUCUAGUCGAUAGAAUAAUGUAGGUAAGGGAAGUCGGCAAAUCGGAUCCGUAACUUCGGG